Molecule: long non-coding RNA, 1160 nt
Organism: Parambassis ranga (Indian glassy fish)
Lineage: Eukaryota; Metazoa; Chordata; Actinopteri; Ambassidae
Source: Ensembl
CACAAGCGCGCGCACACACACACACACGCCCUCUCUCUCUCUCUCUCUCUCUCUCUCUGUCUCUCUCUCGCUCUCUGCAGCUCCGUCUCUUGCACUCUCACUCUCCUCUAUGCUGCUAUUCUGGGAAGUGGCGCUUGGAAUAACCCCCGUGUGUGCGUAUGAGUGUGUGUGUGCGCGUGUGUCUCCUGAUUUCACCCUGACACACGCACACAUACACACUCACAACACUGUUAGACGCACACAUUUACUGUCUGUCUGUCUGUCUGACUGCAGCGACGCGGCUCCGGCAGCAGAAAUCCGGUCGGAAAGGAUUCCUUCCAUUUUUACGCGCAACUUUUCCUCCGUCGGCAGCUUCGCCGCGACGUCUCCCCCGCUCCUCCUCGACUGUUGUGGAUUUCUAACAACCACAUCCUGGCUGUCGCUGACGGACAAGCAGCGAGAAGUCAAGCCCGCCAGCUCAGAGUCGGAUCUCCUGUCACCGGGCUUUACUUGUUGUCAUUCUCACCGGAGACGCGCAGCUACAGGAGGGACAUUUUGUGGACUUGAUGAACUGGACCAGCGGACAAACAAAAACAACAGCGUGGCCCCAUCAGGACGCUGCCUGUUGAAACCAAACUGAGCGCGUGCAGACCGUCAGGUCAUCUAGUGAGAAAACUGACUUUUGAUGAAAGAGGACCUACAAAGACCUGAAAGAAACGUUAGUGUUCACUUCGACUAAUCAAUACACGGUUAGCUUAAAAUGUGCUUCACCAGUCAAAUGUCUUCAUCUUCUUCUUCUGCAGAUCGCUCAAUGAUCCUUCUGGCUUUAGAAGAACUGGACACACAACAUCGGGACAGCAGCAUUUGUGUUUUCACAAACUAGCAAAGGGAGAGAGACAUCUCUGAUGUUUUCCACUAAAGCUCCACUUUUACUUCCACUUCCUGAUUCCUGAUUUCCAGCCUGGCUCUACCAUCCAUCAGUCACGUCUGUUUCAGCAAUGGACGGGCACUUCCUGUUCCUGUGAACUUGUUGGCAGCCCUCAAAGGUUCACCUACCAUGCCUGGUAGUUUUGGGACCUUGUAACCCUCCAGAACCUACCCUCCCAACUCCCCCCACCCCACCCCUCCCCAUCCCCCUCACCCCCACCCCACCCUUCCUCCCUCUCUCCCUCUUCUACAUC